Molecule: long non-coding RNA, 2068 nt
Organism: Pseudophryne corroboree (corroboree frog)
Lineage: Eukaryota; Metazoa; Chordata; Amphibia; Anura; Myobatrachidae
Exons: 5
Source: RefSeq, a predicted model, not a curated record
GUGUGGUGUGUGUGUGUGUGUCAGCUCCCUCACCUGCCAGCUGCCCAGUCACCUCCACAGUCAACGUCGAGGCAGCCUACCAAAGUUCCGUCCAGCCCAGGCCCUGUCCGAAAAUCUGACUUACCCCAGCCCCUGAUUGUGGCAGAGGCUCCGCCCCCUGACCCGUCCGUGGCUCCGCCCCCAUACCACACGAAGCUCCGCCCCUAGCAUCUGAUGUGUCAAUAGCAGCACAUAAGCCUCUUCAUUGCUGUGGUCAUGUAUUCUGGAGCAGUCGGCCAGCACAUGAUAAACAGGACAGUAGAACCAUGAGGCUUCAUAGGAUCUUUUAAUCAUGAGAUAUGCCUGUUUCCUGCACCUGCAAUGCUGUGAGUCCUAGUACUCCUUUGGGUCUUGGCUAUUAGUAUGCAAGCAACUAACUCUCACUCCUGUUCUGUUUAAGUGGUAAUGAGUGUUUGGGAAGAUCCAUACAAGAUCUAGGUGGUAAAGUCCAGCGAGAGUCAAAUGGCCGGCGGAGUCAAGCCAGCACCGCAAGGCAAGAGAUAAUCCAGCGCUUGGCAAGCUGAGGCGAAACAUUGAUUCCUACACGGAAGGGCAGGUGCAGAGGCUACACCUCUGUGUCUGUACAGUCUGUUCUUGACGAUACCCCUGCUUGCUGAUUUUGGUUCUGAUCCAGCGGAUGAUCCUGAUGAAGACCAAGGCUUCGGAUUGGGGUAGCAGCCAUUGCUGAUUCAGGGCCUUCGCAGCUAUGAUUAAUUACGCAGCAGCUGUGCGAAAAUAUGCAAAUGUUGCAGACACCAGGAUUUGUAUUGAGAUGCCCACUGAAGCGUCUGACAGCCGCCGCUUGUGUAUGAAGAUGCAGACAUUGGACGCACAUAUUGUACGGUGAUAAUUGACCUUACGGGCAACCCUGUGGCCGCUGGAUGUAAGAUUUUUAUCUGCGCACAGGAUCACAGUUGUAAGCUGUGACCCUCCCCCCCUCCCAAAAUGACACAUCUGUGUUUGAUUGGUCACUCACCAUUUCCUCCCUCAAACGCCCCCUUACUGUCACUCACUUUGAAUAAAGCCUCACUGUGACUGUGUUGUAAAACCAUCUCAGCAAAUGUGCAGUGCGAUUUAUAUAUAUGUGCGCAGUAGCAAAACAUCCACAGGCAGGCAGAUUUACCCAUUUUCACUGCAAGAAUUUUUGCGCAAAUCCUGUUUUCACGAUUUUGGAAUUUAAUAGGUGCAAAUUCAAAAAUCGCGAAUAAUAGGAUUUGCGUGAAAAUUCUACACUGAAAAUGGGGAAGUCAGUCUGAACAAAAAUGCCAAAUUAACAUAGGAUAACAGUAUAGAAGUGUAUUAGAGGUCAUCUUAAAUAGAGUUGGGGUAAUAAAUUGCGUCAAAUGGCUGUUAUAUGCAUUUUUUUUAAAUAAAAAAAUGAUCAAAGCUAUUUUUUUUCAGCAAAAUAAGUGCUCUCAUUAAAUUCGGGGUACAUAAAAAUGGGUAUAAGUAUAUACUGUAUUCGGGUCAUUGUAGGAGACUUGGAAAAAAAAGUGGAAAAAGACUGACUACUCCCACCUGCAAGUCUAAAAACAUUUGUCUUAGGCAUAAAGCACCCUAAUAUAUCUGUCACAUACUUUGAACCCCAAAUUCCAUUGCACUUUUUCACCCCAAAAAUGACAUUAUUAGCCAGUUAAAAAUAAUGAAAAUACCUACAUAGUCAUUAGGGGGAAAGGGGGGGGUUGUGAACCAGGGCUUCGGAGCCAAAUCAUGACAUUUUUACCUUGAAAUAGAGAUUUUUCCCAACUUUGCACCCGCUCAGAGUAGGUGAAGUGAAAUUCACGCUUAAAUUAUCGAUGAUAAAUUAUUGCAGCUAUUUGAAUAGAGGUCUUUCACGAUUUGCAGUAAAAUCCCAGUUUUUCGUGCAAAAAUCGGGUUAUUGCAGCUAAUUGAAUACUCCCCUAUGUGUAAUUGGAAAUCUGCACAUACACAUAGAAAUAUACAAAUGAAAAUACUCCCCUGGCGGGCAAAAUUAUAUUCAAUAAUAAUUUUAAUUUUUAAUGUGAGAAUUAUAAUGAAACAUUAAAAU